GAGCGCAUUGGAAGCUGUAAUCUAGGGGCGGCAGCGUG
Aeromonas hydrophila subsp. hydrophila ATCC 7966 is the source of this 38-nucleotide regulatory RNA element. It matches the Rfam family "JUMPstart RNA". The record is from Rfam. Lineage: Bacteria; Pseudomonadati; Pseudomonadota; Gammaproteobacteria; Aeromonadales; Aeromonadaceae.